CUUUUUUGGACACCUCAUCAAUAGCUUGAAAAAUAUGUAAAUGAUAAUGUACAACAAACAUUUUUCUUACCUACAUUGAGACAUUGAUCACUCUGUACCAUACAUGAAAGAAUCCUAUAACUACUAGUGGUAGAAAUGCAUGCCAUGUAUCAUCCAACUUACAAGCAAGAAUGUAUACUCUUCCUCCUUUUUCACUUAAUCGUCACCUUUUCUGCACGAAAAGAUUAUCAAUGCCGAGAAAGGGGUGGAGGAGCCUGACCGCCAACCUCAGGCUCGAAAUUGGUCAUUUUCAUUUUUAAACGAUUUAUUCUUUCGGAUAUUCAUAUAGCAAAGUAAUGUUGUAUACGUCUCUUUUCGGAUGAUAAAUAUAGCGUACUCUAUCUGAGCAAAAUCAUUUUGUGUAAUUAUAACAUCUAUGACCACUUGAAUCGCCAUAGAUUUGAUCAUACACAAAAUUCAGCUCUCUCUGUGUGAAUUAGAAAUCCAUCAGAACUGCCAAGUGAUCGUUAAUGCAUUUUGAAUCCCGGCAAAGUUCUCUACUUGUUGAUUUGCAACAGAGUUGGCACAAACAAAAGAACAACAAUUCCCUCUUGGAAGUCUUCCAGAUAUCAGCAUUCCAAUGCUGCUCAAGCUGAAGAGAAUUUUUUUACCUUGAUGCAUUUCACUUAAUAACUCGACUUAUUACAGUCAGUUUGAUCUUCGGUUCCAGAGCAUUAACAUUCCCUUUGACAUCUUUCAAGAAAGUCCUCAGGUAACCAUUGAUUACACGUGGCGCUGCCCCAUCACAGAACCGCUUUGCAAGGUCAACAGCCUUCAACAAAGUCAGAUGUGUUCUAACAGAUGUAAGCACAAAACUUUUAAAUAACUCUUCUUGCAUACAAGAGUUGUCCAAAUGCAUCAGUGAAACUCCAAAAAGAUCAAAGAAAGCAAGAAACCUUGUUUAUGACUAUUUGGUGCAGCGACCUUAGCACUGCUAUCUCAGACAUAGCUAGGUGAAGAAUUGAAGGCUCGGAAUUUUACCAGCCGGUUCAUUUUUUGUAAAAGAACCAAAAUAAAAUAAAAUAUAUGGGUUAGUCAGUAUUUUAAUAGUCCUAAAAAUGAGUUUGAGAACAAUUAUCACUGAAAUGUAGGAUAUUACUCUAGAACGAGCAUGGUAUUCUCGAGUAACAUUCUUAAAAUUAUUGAAUUGCAUAGACAUCACAUUCAAAAUGGAAUUAUGACACGUGAUUAAAUAUCAACACCAACUCCAAAAGAAUUGCAAAAUAAAAUUAUGAUAGGAAGGGGGUAGCAUAUGUUGUAAAAUUUUCACCGGAUUGGAGUAAAAAUCACGAAAUAGCAACACAAAUAACAAAACAAUCAUGAACUUGUAUCAAUGAAUGGUUUGAAUACAAUAUCGUUGUCUUCAAAUAAUAUUUGCCCAUUCUCCUAUAGAUUUGAGAUGAUUCGAAGGUUGUUGGCAAAUUAUUUGCAGAAUUAUAACAAGUUUUGCAAGAAUUUAAGCACCAAAGCAAGAGUGCAAAUCCUAGAAAACUUGAAGAACACAAGGGAUGAAUGUUGAAUGUGGAUUUAAAAGACUUUGAUCUUUGAUUUUGGAAGUAAUAUGGAAC
Molecule: long non-coding RNA, 1607 nt
Filed under: Olea europaea subsp. europaea
Lineage: Eukaryota; Viridiplantae; Streptophyta; Magnoliopsida; Lamiales; Oleaceae
Source: RNAcentral